GGGGAGAUGCCGGAGUGGUCAAACGGGCUACGCUUAGGACGUAGUGGCUUUCGCCUACAGGGGUUCGAAUCCUCUUCUCCCCA
RNAcentral lists this transfer RNA (83 nucleotides) under Nanobdellota archaeon. RNAcentral's name for it is "tRNA-Leu". It matches the Rfam family "tRNA". From Rfam's summary of the family: Transfer RNA (tRNA) molecules are approximately 80 nucleotides in length. The record is from RNAcentral. Lineage: Archaea; Nanobdellati; Nanobdellota.